Long non-coding RNA from Drosophila nasuta, 456 nucleotides. RefSeq lists it as uncharacterized. The record is from RefSeq and is a predicted model, not a curated record. The transcript has 3 exons. NCBI's taxonomy places the organism in Eukaryota, Metazoa, Arthropoda, Insecta, Diptera, Drosophilidae.
UAUUAUAACGAAUUUAACAGAUUUUUAAAAUUACUUUAAUGGACGUAACCGUUGAAAAUUUGUCAAUAAAAAACGAAAGUCCUUUAAACACUAGAGGUAACUCACAUUAAUGUAGAUGAAACUGAGGUUGGUCAACGCACUGGCUGUCAUGGAGCUCUCGCUCUUGCGAUCAUACAUCUGAAGUGUUUCGAUGGCCUGGUUAACAUCGUUCUGACGCAGAUAAACCAAAGCUUUGUUCAGCUCCAGCUCGUUGGCGAGCCACGACAGAUUCGAGGUCCUUAUGACCUCAAUGCACCAGUUGUAACCUGAAGGAUGUUCUCUUCGAUUAAUGGUGAAAUCAAAUCCACAAUCAUGGUAAUCGAACGCUUCUCCGAGUUGCGACGCUGCUUCGUAUAAACUGCGAGUUCGUCGGUCUUGAGGGCCUGCAGAACGUAGCGAUUCUUCUUCGCAUUGGCG